This 270-nucleotide unclassified non-coding RNA is filed under the name uncultured fungus. RNAcentral's name for it is "partial contains small subunit ribosomal RNA, internal transcribed spacer 1, and 5.8S ribosomal RNA". The stretch from base 1 to 73 matches the Rfam family "Eukaryotic small subunit ribosomal RNA", at positions 1759 to 1831 of the family's 1831-position model. Lineage: Eukaryota; Fungi. The record is from RNAcentral.
GCAAACUUGGUCAUUUAGAGGAAGUAAAAGUCGUAACAAGGUCUCCGUAGGUGAACCUGCGGAGGGAUCAUUACCGAGUGAGGGCCUUUGGCCCGAUCUCCAACCCAAUGUUGACCAACACCUGUUGCCUCGGGGGUGACCCGGACGCCGACGCGUCGGGGCCCCCGGUGGACCAUUUCAACUCUGUGUCUGUACGUCGGAGUCUAAAGUUAAUCAAUUAAAACUUUCAACAACGGAUCUCUUGGUUCUGGCAUCGAUGAAGAACGCAGC